CGGAACGUGCCCAAUCGUGGGGGAUAGCUCGGCGAAAGCCGGAUUAAUACCGCAUACGAUCUACGGAUGAAAGCAGGGGACUCGCAAGGGCCUUGCGCGAAUGGAGCGGCCGAUGGCAGAUUAGGUAGUUGGUGGGGUAAAGGCUCACCAAGCCGACGAUCUGUAGCUGGUCUGAGAGGACGACCAGCCACACUGGGACUGAGACACGGCCCAGACUCCUACGGGAGGCAGCAGUGGGGAAUUUUGGACAAUGGGCGCAAGCCUGAUCCAGCAAUGCCGCGUGCAGGAUGAAGGCCUUCGGGUUGUAAACUGCUUUUGUACGGAACGAAAAGGCUCUGGUUAAUACCUGGGGCUCGUGACGGUACCGUAAGAAUAAGCACCGGCUAACUACGUGCCAGCAGCCGCGGUAAUACGUAGGGUGCGAGCGCUAAUCGGAAUUACUGGGCGUAAAGCGUGCGCAGGCGGUGAUGUAAGACAGUUGUGAAAUCCCCGGGCUCAACCUGGGAACUGCAUCUGUGACUGCAUCGCUGGAGUGCGGCAGAGGGGGAUGGAAUUCCGCGU
RNAcentral lists this ribosomal RNA (561 nucleotides) under uncultured bacterium. RNAcentral describes it as "bacterial SSU rRNA". It matches the Rfam family "Bacterial small subunit ribosomal RNA", at positions 119 to 674 of the family's 1533-position model. The record is from RNAcentral.